This 114-nucleotide ribosomal RNA is filed under the name Citrobacter portucalensis. Its description in RNAcentral is "partial 23S ribosomal RNA". The stretch from base 1 to 102 matches the Rfam family "Bacterial large subunit ribosomal RNA", at positions 2824 to 2925 of the family's 2925-position model. Lineage: Bacteria; Pseudomonadati; Pseudomonadota; Gammaproteobacteria; Enterobacterales; Enterobacteriaceae. The record is from RNAcentral.
GUCCUGAAGGAACGUUAAAGACGAUGACGUUGAUAGGUCGGGUGUGUAAGUGUAGCGAUACAUUGAGCUAACCGAUACUAAUGAACCGUGAGGCUUAACCUUACAACGCCGAAG